GACGAACGCUGGCGGCGUGCUUAACACAUGCAAGUCGAACGGAAAGGCCCUGCUUUCAGGGUACUCGAGUGGCGAACGGGUGAGUAACACGUGGGUGAUCUGCCCUGCACUUCGGGAUAAGCUUGGUAAACUGGGUCUAAUACCGGCUAGGAGACAUCUUUAGUGUGGUGGUUGGAAAGUUUUUUCGGUGUAGGAUGAGCUCGCGGCCUAUAAGCUUGUUGGUGGGGUAAUGGCCUACCAGGGCGGCGAAGGGUAGCCGGCCUGAGAGGGUGUACGGCCACAUUGGGACUGUGAGACAGCCAAGACUCGUACGGGAGGCAGCAGUGGGGAAUGUUGCACAGUGGGCGCAAGCGUGAUGGAGCGAGGCCGCGUGGGGGAUGAAGGCCGUCGGGUUGUAAGCUCCUUUCGGUAGGGACGAAGCUUUUUUGUGACGGUACCUAGAUAGAAAGCACCGGCUAACUACGUG
This 466-nucleotide ribosomal RNA is filed under the name uncultured bacterium. RNAcentral describes it as "partial 16S ribosomal RNA". It matches the Rfam family "Bacterial small subunit ribosomal RNA", at positions 28 to 507 of the family's 1533-position model. The record is from RNAcentral.